CUGCAAAUAUCAAGAGGCUUUUACAGGAUCCUCUCACUUUUGCAUCCAGGUUUUUUGAAAAUCCCAAGAUGAGCUUCCAUUGGCUACUUCAAUCAAGCCCCCACUCCUGAACCAGUUAUUGAAGCUGGAGUGGAAGAACACAAAGGAGCCAACUUUGGAUCACAUGCCUUCUGCCUCUAAAGGACAGGACAAACCCGGAGAGUAAAGACUAAGAAUGUGAACAAGAGUGAUUUUCCAAAGAAAAUGAGGGCAAUUUUUCUGAUGUAAAUAAACAAAAGUGAAAUGGAAGUUGGGAUGUGAAAGCAGCAGGUACUCCUUGAAAGAAUUGGAAAUGGAUAUGGCCAGUUUAAAAGGGCUGCACAACAUUGGCAUAGAUGUAAACUCACAUAGAUGUAAUUGUUUUCCUGUGAAAUGAUGUUGUUUGCAAAAAUGCUGUUGUGAUGAACACAAGGGUAGACUCAUCAAGAAGAGGAUUGAAAGAAAAGUUGAGGCUUGGAGUACUGAAAUGUUUGCCAGGGGGUUGGUGAGAAAAGUGAAGAAUCUGGGAAAAGUUAACUAAAGCUGUCCAGAAGGAGAAUGAUGGAUCUGGUGAAAUGGGGUCUUCUGGCAUCAGAAUGGCAAAUUCUACUGUCAUCUCAGAGAAUUCGUCAUCCUUCAGGAAACCUGGAUGAAAUAUGCUUUUAGACUGUGCAAACCUUUUAAUUCUGGUUUCUGAAAAAUAUCUCACAUUGAGCGAUUAUUCAGAGCUCUGUUCUUUGAUCAUUCGUUUCUCACAACAUAUGAGUUAGGUUCAAAGUCAUUCUUACAGAUGAUUUUUGCAGAUAAACCCAUGGAGGAACAAAGCUCAUGUCCAUUAUCUCUUUCCUAUUUUAUUCCUACUAUGCUCUAAGUGUUCACAAAGUAUAUGACAGACCACUUAACUCCCUAUGCACAGUGACGCUAGGAAGUAGGUUCGCAGACAUCACUGUUCUAGUUACCAAAAGCUACCUUGCUGCUUUCACAUCCCAACUUCCAUUUCAUUUUUGUUUAUUUAUAUCAAACUAAUAAUUGAAAAUGUAAUCAAUAUGUCAAUGUCUUAUGAAUAUCCAAGACUCCCAUCAACUCUGGUCAUGCAAAAAUAAAGAAUUUAAAGUAGAAGACUCUAAAAAAAAAUGAAGAUUCUGAAAAGCACUGCAAAUAUAAAAUUGUGGACUGUAGAGGAAAGAAAAUCGUAUCCUUUCUUCACUCAUCACAAGAUUCAUAGCUGAUUGUCACAAGGGUGCUGUAUUAUUAACAUAUACAACAACAACACAUUUGUGUCAUAUAUAUAUAUAUAUAUAUGCAGAAAGGCUAAUAAAGGGUUAAGACAGGCAAAGGAUUCAGAACUGAGCACAAAGGCAGAAAGCAUAAGGAUGUAGAGAGUCACUGUAGGUGGUCAGAUAAGAUCAGAAACCAGGGAAGAACUUGUUCAAGGUGCAGAGCUGUCAAAGUAUGGAAACUUAUUCUAGGCCAAUGUCCAGAUGGAUGACAGUUUCACAGUGUCAGCUUGAGAUAUUAGCUUGGAGUGGGUCUUUCAUGGUUGUCACAGACAGAAGAAACUGCACUCUCUAAAGCCUGAGGACGGAGAUUAAGAGAUUCAUUGCCAUGGUGAUUUUUUCCUGGACAAGGCUCCCAGAGGAGUGAUGAGGUCUGCCCAGCCAGACUGCGGCAACACAAGAGCCUUCAAAAAAUGAAGACUAAAGGCCUAUGGAAAGCUGUGUUUUUAUGGACUGUCAUACCUCCAGGGAGUGAAGGACAAAUGGGAAUAUGAUCUAAUGAUGAUAAACCUGGGAUCUCAGCAAGGACUCUUUGUCCAAAUUCUUCUUGGCCAGUGAGUAAAGGGCAGCACCCUCUGGAGGGAGGGUCAAGAGAUCUUUCAUAGGAGGUAUGUUAGAGAAUUCACUUAGGGCCUGCUUCCAGGUGGAAAGGCAGGAGAAGGGCAGAGAGUAACCUUCCUGCUUCAGUCUUCUCCUCAGCUUGCUUCAGCUUAAAAUGUGUGUGCAAAUGCCAUAUUUUGAAGCAUUGUGUUUUGAGGCCUAAGAAGACCAAAUCUUGAAUCCUGGAGACUCAUCAGUCCCUACCAGACUAGCCACCCUCUCCCUUUAUCUUUAUGGCCUCUCCAUCUUAUCUUUCUGACAAUUCUAUAUAGUUGUUUUGGAAGAAACUGCCCUGGGAUAAAUAAGAAAGCGCCCAUCAUCUUAAUGUGACAGGUAGAAAGUAGCUCAGGACCAGAACAAUAAUCAUUUAAUUGUUCUUGAUUGCUUGGGAGAUACCACUGAGCCUCAAAGCAAUGCCUAAGGGAAGAUGUGAUAAAAAACAUUGGCAUGGGGGUGUGCAUUACCUGAUUUCAAUUCCCAAAUCUAGUUGGAGACACAAUAUUCUGACAAAAAAAAAAAAA
This is a non-coding RNA of Ictidomys tridecemlineatus (thirteen-lined ground squirrel), 2416 nucleotides long. Lineage: Eukaryota; Metazoa; Chordata; Mammalia; Rodentia; Sciuridae. The record is from RefSeq and is a predicted model, not a curated record.